RNAcentral lists this ribosomal RNA (399 nucleotides) under uncultured fungus. RNAcentral's name for it is "SSU rRNA". It matches the Rfam family "Eukaryotic small subunit ribosomal RNA", at positions 30 to 433 of the family's 1831-position model. Lineage: Eukaryota; Fungi. The record is from RNAcentral.
GCUUGUCUCAAAGAUUAAGCCAUGCAUGUCUAAGUAUAAGCAAUUAUACCGUGAAACUGCGAAUGGCUCAUUAAAUCAGUUAUCGUUUAUUUGAUAGUACCUUACUACUUGGAUAACCGUGGUAAUUCUAGAGCUAAUACAUGCUGAAAACCCCAACUUCGGGAGGGGUGUAUUUAUUAGAUAAAAAACCAACGCCCUUCGGGGCUUCUUGGUGAUUCAUGAUAACUUCACGGAUCGCAUGGCCUUGCGCCGGCGACGGUUCAUUCAAAUUUCUGCCCUAUCAACUUUCGAUGGUAAGGUAUUGGCUUACCAUGGUUUCAACGGGUAACGGGGAAUUAGGGUUCGAUUCCGGAGAGGGAGCCUGAGAAACGGCUACCACAUCCAAGGAAGGCAGCAGGC